CCUACGUGCGGCAGCAGUGGGGAAUAUUUGGCAAUGGGCGCAAGCCUGACCCAGCAAUGCCGCGUGAAGGAAGAAGGCUUUCGGGUUGUAAACUUCUUUGACAGGGGAAGAGCAGAAGACGGUACCCUGAAAACAAGCCAAGGCUAACUACGGGCCAGCAGCCGCGGUAAUACGUAGGUGGCAAGCGUUCCCCGGAUUCACUGGGUGAAAAGGGAGUGUAGCCGGGAAGGCAAGUCAGAUGUGAAAUCCGGAGGCUCAACCCUCGAAUUGCAUUUGAAACUGUUUUUCUUGAGUACUGGAGAGGCAGACGGAAUUCCUUGUGUAGCGGUGAAAUGCGUAGAUAUAAGGAGGAACACAAGUGGCGAAGGCGGUCUGCUGGACAGCAACUGACGGUGAGGCUCGAAAGCGUGGGGAGCAAACAGGAUUAGAUACCCGGGUAGUC
RNAcentral lists this ribosomal RNA (442 nucleotides) under uncultured bacterium. RNAcentral's name for it is "partial 16S ribosomal RNA". It matches the Rfam family "Bacterial small subunit ribosomal RNA", at positions 338 to 795 of the family's 1533-position model. The record is from RNAcentral.